This 77-nucleotide transfer RNA is filed under the name Candidatus Saccharimonadota bacterium. Its description in RNAcentral is "tRNA-Ile". It matches the Rfam family "tRNA". Rfam says of the family: Transfer RNA (tRNA) molecules are approximately 80 nucleotides in length. Their secondary structure includes four short double-helical elements and three loops (D, anti-codon, and T loops). Lineage: Bacteria; Candidatus Saccharimonadota. The record is from RNAcentral.
GGGCGGCUAGCUCAGCUGGUUAGAGCGCCUCUCUGAUAAGGAGGAGGUCUGAGGUUCGAGUCCCUCGUCGCCCACCA